GGAGGUAUAGCUCAGUGGUAGAGUGUAUGCCUAGCAUGUGCAAGAUCCUGGUUCAAUCUGCAAUACCUCCA
Molecule: transfer RNA, 71 nt
Filed under: Camelus bactrianus (Bactrian camel)
Lineage: Eukaryota; Metazoa; Chordata; Mammalia; Artiodactyla; Camelidae
Also listed under: 1 other name
Rfam family: tRNA
About the family: Transfer RNA (tRNA) molecules are approximately 80 nucleotides in length. Their secondary structure includes four short double-helical elements and three loops (D, anti-codon, and T loops). Further hydrogen bonds mediate the characteristic L-shaped molecular structure. tRNAs have two regions of fundamental functional importance: the anti-codon, which is responsible for specific mRNA codon recognition, and the 3' end, to which the tRNAs corresponding amino acid is attached (by aminoacyl-tRNA synthetases). tRNAs cope with the degeneracy of the genetic code in two manners: having more than one tRNA (with a specific anti-codon) for a particular amino acid; and 'wobble' base-pairing, i.e. permitting non-standard base-pairing at the 3rd anti-codon position.
Source: Rfam by way of RNAcentral